UUUGUCACCUUAUUCCCGUAGUCGAUGUGGGUAAAGUGACAGAGGUUCAUUCGUAGGUGAGUGACUGAGUGAGCUCAUGUGUCAACUAGCUCGGUUUGUUUUGUUUUGCUCGCGUUUCCGAAUUUUAAAAUUAGUUUUUUAAUGAACAACUGCGAAUUUAGUUUCGGAAAAUACCACAAUCCAAUUUUAAGGUGUUAGCAAGUCGUCCAGGCCGGAUUUGGAGCCGAAAUUUGCAGCGGAUGAGCCGGUAAGCUGACUGAUUGGAGUAAAAAAACUAACCGCAAGUUAUUUUCCUACACCGUAGCCACCACAAGGCCGCUGUGGAAAAGCAGUAUGAGGCGGUGCUCAUUUCUGAGGCUACGUGUUGUCGGAAAAUGUAAUCGUAGAGACAAUUUCGCACCAACAUCCGGAAAUGUCCAAUCGCCACGGAAAACCCUGGAAACUACACCGAGCAGCUGCGGAAAUCUGCCACAAGCGGAACAUGAUAGAUGGUUUCCAAUAUGCCGCCUUGCGAAGUAACUGCCCAUGAUGCUGGAUGAUUCAACGCAGCUGUCUGAAAUGUGGCAGCUCUCUGAAAUUUGCAACAGGCAAUCCGGGAAGCAAAUUAAAUUUUUAAUAAUU
This is a long non-coding RNA of Uranotaenia lowii, 621 nucleotides long. RefSeq lists it as uncharacterized. Lineage: Eukaryota; Metazoa; Arthropoda; Insecta; Diptera; Culicidae. The record is from RefSeq and is a predicted model, not a curated record. The transcript has 3 exons.